UAGGGAAUCUUCCGCAAUGGGCGAAAGCUUGACGCAGCAACGCCGCGUGAGUGAUGAAGGUCUUCGGAUCGUAAAACUCUGUUAGUAGGGAAGAACAAAUGUGUAAGUAACUAUGCACGUCUUGACGGUACCUAAUCAGAAAGCCACGGCUAACUACGUGCCAGCAGCCGCGGUAAUACGUAGGUGGCAAGCGUUAUCCGGAAUUAUUGGGCGUAAAGCGCGCGUAGGCGGUUUUUUAAGUCUGAUGUGAAAGCCCACGGCUCAACCGUGGAGGGUCAUUGGAAACUGGAAAACUUGAGUGCAGAAGAGGAAGGUGGAAUUCCAUGUGUAGCGGUGAAAUGCGCAGAGAUAUGGAGGAACACCAGUGGCGAAGGCGACUUUCUGGUCUGUAACUGACGCUGAUGUGCGAAAGCGUGGGGAUCAAACAGG
This 429-nucleotide ribosomal RNA is filed under the name Actinomycetes bacterium. RNAcentral's name for it is "Actinobacteria bacterium partial 16S ribosomal RNA". It matches the Rfam family "Bacterial small subunit ribosomal RNA", at positions 355 to 776 of the family's 1533-position model. The record is from RNAcentral. Lineage: Bacteria; Bacillati; Actinomycetota; Actinomycetes.